This 191-nucleotide small nuclear RNA is filed under the name Jaculus jaculus (lesser Egyptian jerboa). RNAcentral describes it as "U2 spliceosomal RNA (ENSJJAG00000005060.1)". It matches the Rfam family "U2 spliceosomal RNA". From Rfam's summary of the family: U2 is a small nuclear RNA (snRNA) component of the spliceosome (involved in pre-mRNA splicing). The record is from Rfam by way of RNAcentral. Lineage: Eukaryota; Metazoa; Chordata; Mammalia; Rodentia; Dipodidae.
AUUGCUUCUUGGCCUUUUGGCUAAGAUCAAGUGUAGUAUCUAUUCUUAUAAGUUUAAUAUCUGAUACAUCCUCUAUCCGAGGACAGUAUAUUAAAUGGAUUUUUGUAGCUUGGAGUUAGAAUAGGAACUUGCUCUGUCCAUUCCAUGCAUCGACCUGGUAUUGCAGUAUCUCUAGGAAUGGUGCACCCCCU